ACGCUCGACACCUACGUGAGGCAGCAGUGGGGAAUAUUGCACAAUGGGGGAAACCCUGAUGCAGCAACGCCGCGUGAAGGAAGACGGUUUUCGGAUUGUAAACUUCUGUUCUUAGUGAAGAUAGUGACGGUAGCUAAGGAGCAAGCCACGGCUAACUACGUGUCAGCAGCCGCGGUAAUCUGAGCGGCUGGCAAGGC
This 197-nucleotide ribosomal RNA is filed under the name uncultured bacterium. Its description in RNAcentral is "partial 16S ribosomal RNA". It matches the Rfam family "Bacterial small subunit ribosomal RNA", at positions 328 to 539 of the family's 1533-position model. The record is from RNAcentral.